This 119-nucleotide ribosomal RNA is filed under the name Pteropus alecto (black flying fox). The record is from RNAcentral. Lineage: Eukaryota; Metazoa; Chordata; Mammalia; Chiroptera; Pteropodidae.
GUCUAUGGCCAUGCUACACUGAACAAGCUCGAUCCCGUCUGAUCUCGGAAGCUAAGCAGGGUCAGGCCCGGUUAGUACUUGGAUGGGAGACCACCUAGGAAGAUCAGGUGCUGUAGGCA